RNAcentral lists this long non-coding RNA (388 nucleotides) under Physcomitrium patens. Its description in RNAcentral is "long non-coding RNA (PPAT_LNC005862)". The record is from RNAcentral. Lineage: Eukaryota; Viridiplantae; Streptophyta; Bryopsida; Funariales; Funariaceae.
UGAUUAUUACAACGAGCGCGGUGCCGAAGAUGAAACCCGGAUUCGAUCCCUCCAAGGGUGCUCCCCCGGAGUUUUACUUCGAAGAGAACGGAUACCCCGAACAAGUCGAUUGGAUUGGACAGAAGAAUCAGAUCGAUGCUGCUAAGGCUGCAGGGUGCAAGCACAUCGUCUUGGUUGGAUCCAUGGGAGGCCAGAACCCUAACCACAUGCUGAAUUCUCUCGGAAACGGGAAGAUUCUCAUCUGGAAGAGGAAGGCGGAGGAGUACCUGUCCCAAUCCGGCGUCCCUUACACGAUCAUCCGAGCUGGUGGAUUGCAAGACAAGGACGGCGGCAUCCGCGAACUCAUCGUCUCCAAAGACGACGAGCUCAUGAACACCGACACAAAAUC